RNAcentral lists this ribosomal RNA (253 nucleotides) under uncultured bacterium. RNAcentral describes it as "partial 16S ribosomal RNA". It matches the Rfam family "Bacterial small subunit ribosomal RNA", at positions 524 to 776 of the family's 1533-position model. The record is from RNAcentral.
UACGUAGGGUCCGAGCGUUGUCCGGAAUUAUUGGGCGUAAAGGGCUCGUAGGCGGUUUGUCACGUCGGGAGUGAAAACUCAGGGCUCAACCCUGAGCGUGCUUCCGAUACGGGCAGACUAGAGGUAUGCAGGGGAGAACGGAAUUCCUGGUGUAGCGGUGGAAUGCGCAGAUAUCAGGAGGAACACCGGUGGCGAAGGCGGUUCUCUGGGCCUUACCUGACGCUGAGGAGCGAAAGCGUGGGGAGCAAACAGG